This 776-nucleotide unclassified non-coding RNA is filed under the name Hevea brasiliensis (rubber tree). Lineage: Eukaryota; Viridiplantae; Streptophyta; Magnoliopsida; Malpighiales; Euphorbiaceae. The record is from RNAcentral.
UUAGACGUUUAAUUAGUGCCCUUUUUUUUUUUUUUUUUAUUGAUACCGACUCUGAAUUAACAUAUUUAAAAACAAUUGCAGACAUGUUACCAUUACAUAAACAGAAAAGGGCACUAAUUACACGUCUAAGAGCUCAUCUUCCAGGGACUUUGUUAGACCUUUCAGAGCUAGCUAUCAAUUGCAUAAUUUAACAUCAUUAAAGUAUGUAAUGCAUAAUAUACAAGUGCACCAAUCAAUAAUCACCAAGAACCAUUUCUUAAAAAAAGAAGAAGAAGAAGAAGAAGAAGAAGAAGAAGAAGAAGGUGCAGAUAUAAGGAAUUAGAGCGAUACAAACUCAUGAGGAUGCACUUCUGAAGGAUCAAUUAGACCUUCUAACACAACCAGCUGGUCUAACAAUGCAAGUUUCUCAUCUUCAAGAGUCUUAACCUCCUCUUCAACUACCUUCAACUCUCUCCCAAGACCAAAGCUUUCUUCCUCCAACAGCAAAUAUUUCCUUCUGAGCGCACGAUAUUCAUUUCCUGAUGAAGAUGAGUCAGGCAAUGAAUCUGAAUUUGACCUCUCCUGUUGCUGAAUCAGUGGAGAGCCUUCAUUCUUCAAGCUCCUUUUGGAGGCCCUCUGGCUUGUUCUUAUAGGGCCCUGCGCCUGUCGGGUGUCAUUACCUUGUAAUGGGAUCAAGGAAGUCCUAGAGGUUGAGGCUUUCUUUUUGCGUGACUUGGAGUUAGUAAUUUCCCCUGAUGGUGGCAUCCUUGGAUCUUGCAUAUUUUUCACCAGCAGUA